AAAGGUACCAAGAGGGUGCAUUUCGUCAGGAACUUGAUCAGGGAGGUCGCUGGGUUUGCUCCGUAUGAGAAGUGUAUCACUGAGCUUCUCAAGGUUGGAGACAAGCGUGCCCUGAAGGUGGCGAAGCGAAAGUUGGGUACCCACAAGAGGGCGAAGAAGAAGAGAGAGGAGAUGUCCAGUGUCCUCAGGAAGAUGAGGUGUGUAAAAUUUGGGCAGUUCUGGAACUAA
RNAcentral lists this ribosomal RNA (228 nucleotides) under Triticum aestivum (bread wheat). RNAcentral describes it as "partial small subunit ribosomal RNA". Lineage: Eukaryota; Viridiplantae; Streptophyta; Magnoliopsida; Poales; Poaceae. The record is from RNAcentral.